AUUGAACGCUGGCGGCAUGCUUUACACAUGCAAGUCGAACGGCAGCGCGGGCUUCGGCCUGGCGGCGAGUGGCGAACGGGUGAGUAAUACAUCGGAACGUGCCCAGUAGUGGGGGAUAGCUCGGCGAAAGCCGGAUUAAUGCCGCAUACGACCUGAGGGUGAAAGCGGGGGAUCUUCGGACCUCGCGCUAUUGGAGCGGCCGAUGGCAGAUUAGCUAGUUGGUGGGGUAAAGGCCUACCAAGGCGACGAUCUGUAGCUGGUCUGAGAGGACGACCAGCCACACUGGGACUGAGACACGGCCCAGACUCCUACGGGAGGCAGCAGUGGGGAAUUUUGGACAAUGGGCGAAAGCCUGAUCCAGCAAUGCCGCGUGUGUGAUGAAGGCCUUCGGGUUGUAAAGCACUUUUGGCGGGAACGAAAAGGACUGUGCCAAUACCACGGUUCGAUGACGGUACCCGCGGAAUAAGCACCGGCUAACUACGUG
RNAcentral lists this ribosomal RNA (484 nucleotides) under uncultured bacterium. RNAcentral describes it as "partial 16S ribosomal RNA". It matches the Rfam family "Bacterial small subunit ribosomal RNA", at positions 29 to 507 of the family's 1533-position model. The record is from RNAcentral.